RNAcentral lists this ribosomal RNA (429 nucleotides) under uncultured bacterium. RNAcentral's name for it is "bacterial SSU rRNA". It matches the Rfam family "Bacterial small subunit ribosomal RNA", at positions 354 to 776 of the family's 1533-position model. The record is from RNAcentral.
GUAGGGAAUUUUCGUCAAUGGGGGGAACCCUGAACGAGCAAUGCCGCGUGUGUGAAGAAGGUCUUCGGAUCGUAAAGCACUGUUGUAAGUGAAGAAUGCCAUAUAGAGGAAAUGCUAUGUGGGUGACGGUAGCUUACCAGAAAGCCACGGCUAACUACGUGCCAGCAGCCGCGGUAAUACGUAGGUGGCAAGCGUUAUCCGGAAUCAUUGGGCGUAAAGGGUGCGUAGGUGGCACGAUAAGUCUGAAGUAAAAGGCAACAGCUCAACUGUUGUAUGCUUUGGAAACUGUCGAGCUAGAGUGCAGAAGAGGGCGAUGGAAUUCCAUGUGUAGCGGUAAAAUGCGUAGAUAUAUGGAGGAACACCAGUGGCGAAGGCGGUCGCCUGGUCUGUAACUGACACUGAUGCACGAAAGCGUGGGGAGCAAAUAGG